Non-coding RNA from Pelobates cultripes (western spadefoot toad), 300 nucleotides. The record is from the annotation of a GenBank genome assembly. NCBI's taxonomy places the organism in Eukaryota, Metazoa, Chordata, Amphibia, Anura, Pelobatidae.
GUGCAUUACAGGGAGCCGAGUAUCUCGUCCUUCCUCCCCGGCGGCAGAGUGUUUUACUGGGAGUGGAGACAACCGGUCUCACUCUACAACGGCAGUGUCGAUUACAGGGAGAGAAGGGUGUCGCCCUUCCUCCCCAGCGGUAGAGUUUGUUACAGGGAGUGGAGACAACCGGUCUCACUCCCCAGCGGCAGUGUGAAGUACAGAGAGUGGAGUGUGUUGGCAUUCCUCCUGUUAUGAGCAAAUGCAAGUAUUACACGUUUUAGAAUAAAAUGUUGUAUUUCUUAAACUGUGUACUUUGUC